Molecule: unclassified non-coding RNA, 1152 nt
Filed under: Leishmania donovani
Lineage: Eukaryota; Euglenozoa; Kinetoplastea; Trypanosomatida; Trypanosomatidae
Description: gene:unknown
Source: RNAcentral
AACGAGUGUUUUAGGCUCAUCGCUUCACCAGUCACCACCCCGACAGAGACCGCCACCGUUGUCAAGCGUGUUGGGUGCACCGAGUCCGGCAGCAGGCGAAUUCAGACGCCGUCUUGCACUGCGUGAGAGGUGAAGGGCGGACUAGGCAGCAGAGGCACUAGCCGGCCGAAGAUUCUGGCAGCCCUCUCCGCGCCGAGGGGCAGCACCAGUCGCAACAACAACUCUCAAAGAGCUGGGAAGACAGAGCUGCCCGUCGGGUGCUCCGAUGAUCCGCCGUACAAGAGACGAUAAUGAGCUGCUCACAGGGGUGGAAGCUUGCCACGCGGGAAGACGACACACCACGGAGCUGCAUUUUCUUCUGCUAGAGUGUAUGCCGGCGCCGCUGUGUUGCGCGUGCACACAGGCUGGCAGCUUGUUGGCUUGGUUGCCCUGAUCAUGUGCAUACGAUGCGCACAACGAGAUUGCAUCCAGCCGACACACCGUCUUCAGGGCCUUUCCGGUGUAGACUUGGUAAGAGCGAUCCUUCGUUAUUAGACUCAGGGGGGUCCCCCACACUGCCACGCAGCUGUGCCAGACCGCGGUCCUCGGGCUAGAAGGCGCGGGAGCGCCGACUGUGGGGAGUUCGAGGCGGCAGUGCCACAGAAGGCGUGCAUCCAAGGAGAAGUGGAUAAGCGGAACGUGUAUGAGUGCGAUGGAUAGCGCGAGCGAGUCGCGAGACGACCCACGGCCAGCAGCAGGAAGCAGCGCACGUGCCUCUUCUCUCCCUCAGCUCCUGCACACCUAGCCAAGGACAGACAAAGGAAAAGGGAAAGCGAGCUUGAUGCUGCCCAGCAGGGGACCACGAUCAUCUUGCACUGGUGCACACACAAGACAGACAGCGGUUCCGCGAUGCGCACUCACGCGGCUGCUAUUGCCACUGGCAGGCAGAUGCUGUUGCCAGCUGUUUCUCAGAUAUGUUGGCCGCUCCCCUCCAUCGCAUCUUCCACCGCCUGCGGCGGAGCUCGCUCCAGUGCCGAGUGUACCGCUUCUUCAGCUUGACCUUCCUCUCCUCUUCUCUCUCCGUCACCUUGAUGCUCCCAUGGCUCACACCGACACUCGCGGCGAUUCUCAUCGCGACUGAACUCUUAUCCACAUCUCUUCAUCAUCUCCCAG